Amphiprion ocellaris (clown anemonefish) is the source of this 2676-nucleotide long non-coding RNA. RefSeq lists it as uncharacterized. The transcript has 4 exons. NCBI's taxonomy places the organism in Eukaryota, Metazoa, Chordata, Actinopteri, Pomacentridae. The record is from RefSeq and is a predicted model, not a curated record.
UUUAUAUUUAUGUUUAUAUUUGUGUGUUUAUGUGUUUAUAUUCAUGUGUUUAUAUUUAUGUUUAUAUUUGUGUGUUUAUGUGUUUAUAUGUAUGUGUUUAUAUUUGUGUUUAUGUGUUUAUAUGUAUGUGUGUUUGUGUGUUUAUGUUUAUGUGUUUAUAUUUGUGUGUUUAUGGGUUCAUAUUUAUGUGUGUUUAUGUGUGUGUAGUCACUGACUUCCUGGAAUAAACCAAACUACUCGGUAGAGUUCACGCUGGACGGACACACCCAGACUGUUUCCUCCAUCAAGUUCAGUCCUGAUGGAGAAUGGCUGGCUACUUCCUGUUGUCAUACCCCUCUGUUUGGAAACGCUCCGUGAGAAGAAGACACCACCACUUCCAUAUCAAAGGCAUGUCUGUCUGAAAGUAGUGUGACAAUAGAAAGGAAAAUUUGAGUUCAAAAUGUGUCCUUUCUUUUCAAAAUGAAUAGUAUGUGGCAACAACAAAAGCAUUUGGAGAGAGCAGUUUCUUCUUUGUGUAAACGUUUUUUAAAACUAACAUAAACAUAAAUAAACAUAAAUCAAGUUUAAUCUGGGAGGUGGACCAAUAUAUUUAAAAUGUUCUGUCUUGGAUUCCGUCUGUGUAAUGAUGUAACUUCAUACAGGCUGUACAGUAGACAGAGUAGAUGAGGUAAAGGAGUGAAGGAUAAGCCUACAUCAAAACUGAGCAUUAAAAACACUAAAUGUCUCAGCAUCACAAAAAAAUGUGAUCAUGAAAAGUCUGACGAUGAAGAAAAUGUACUUUCACUGUUUAUCCUUUUUCACAGCAGACAUUUGAACUGGUCACAGGUGGAAAAACUAAUAACAGAGGUCCAUAAAGGUUCUUGGUAAACUAUGCCAGAGAACCAGUAGAACACCAGCAGUUCUACUGGUUCUCUGGCAUAAUUUACCAUAGCAGACAUACCCUUCUCGGUUCUGGGUCCACAUUAAUCCGUCUGUCUCCCUGCAGUUUGAUGAGAGUGUUCGUAUCUGGGAUGUCAAGAUGGGGAAAUGUCUGAAGACGCUGCCGGCUCACUCUGACCCGGUGUCAGCUGUCCACUUCAACAGAGACGGGUCUCUGAUCGUCUCCAGCAGCUACGAUGGACUCUGGUACGUCUGAACAUUCAGAGAAACACCUGGAGGAUUAGACUCUGCUCUUCACCUGUCUGUCUGUCUGUCUGUCUGUCCGUCCGUCCGUCCGUCCGUCCGUCCGUCCGUCCGUCCGUCCGUCCGUCCGUCCGUCUGUCUGUCUGUCUGUCUGUCUGUCUGGUCGUAUCUGGGACACAGCAUCAGGACAGUGUAUGAAGACUCUGAUCGGUGAGUAAAAGCUGAACAUACAGAUUUUCGUGUCCUUCAACAUGAGAUCCUGCGUGUCAGAUUCAACAUGUGAUAGUAACGUGUCAGAUUCAACAUGUGAUGGGUGAUAGUGUGUCAGAUUCAACAUGUGAUAGAUAGUAGCGUGUCAGAUUCAACAUGUGAUGGGUGAUAGCGUGUCAGAUUCAACAUGUGAUAGGUGAUAGCGUGUCCUGUAUGAGUUCCGUGAUUCUCUCUCCUCAGACGACACCAAUCCUCCGGUGUCUUUUGUCAAGUUUUCUCCUAAUGGGAAAUACAUCCUGGUUGCUACGCUGGACAAGUCAGUACGACCACUCUUAGCUCUGAGGUAGCCUGUUAGCAUAGCCAUGCUAACCUCGCUAACACUCAGAGACACUCAUUUUUAGCCACCAUCAGUUUAGUCCUGAAGCUCUAAUUUUAGCUCUAUUAAUGUUUGACGAGCUUCAUGCUAGCUGACUAGUAGUUAGCUGGCUAGCAGUUAGCUGUGGUCUGUCAUUCUAAUGACAUUUUACCCAUGAUGCUGUUCACUCAGCAUUCAGCUAAAAUUGCUUCAAUGUCGCUAACUCUUAGCUUGAACUUUACUAGCCAGUUUAAUUUUAAUCUUUAUAACUAGCACUAAAUGCUAGGUCAUGUAAUUUCCAUAUUAUUGCUUAGCUCAAUGUUGCUUCACUAAAAUGCAGCUUGUGUUAGUGUAUGAAUGUUAUCUUAACUAUUAGCAUUGUUUUAAUCCCAAAGCUGUUAGCUCAGAGUUAGCUCAUCAUUUUAGCCUCAGUUAGCAUCAUGUCAGUGUCAUUUAAACCUGAAAUUGUUUAGAUCUUAUUAACCCUCGGUAACAUUCAACAUUAGCUUCAUGUUCAAGGUGUCGUUUUAAACAUUUAGCUUAGCUACGGUUUAGUUAGCCUAAUGUUGCUAACAGACUCAGCCUUCAGUAACUCUGCUGCUUAAUUAAUUGUUAUAUUUUCUCUGGUUUACAGCACAUUGAAGCUGUGGGACUGUAGCAAAGGUCUGUCUGUCUGAUGGUACCACUUGCCUGUCUGUCCUCAGUGUCUGAAGACCUACAGCGGCCAUAAGAAUGAGAAAUAUUGCAUUUUCGUCAACUUCUCCGUCACAGGAGGGAAGUGGAUCGUGUCGGGUUCUGAGGACAGCAUGGUUUACAUCUGGAACCUGCAGACCAAAGAGACCGUUCAGAAACUACAAGGACACACAAGUUGGACUUUUACCCUCACACUAUCUCAGUUGCUGUGGAAACCAUGUUUGAGCUAUGGGGACUUUAAUCAAUGAGCAGAAAUGUUGGUUUCAGUUUGUUUCUAUAAAAAGUUUUGACUACAA